This 68-nucleotide transfer RNA is filed under the name Lumbriculus variegatus. Its description in RNAcentral is "tRNA-His". Lineage: Eukaryota; Metazoa; Annelida; Clitellata; Lumbriculida; Lumbriculidae. The record is from RNAcentral.
AAUAAGGUAAGUUAAAUUAAACUAUUGAAUUGUGGUUUCAAAUAUAUAUAUCAAUCGUAUCCUUAUUC